GAUGAACGCUGGCGGCGUGCUUAAUACAUGCAAGUCGAACGGACAGACCCUGCGCUUGCUCGGUGCUCGUUUGGCGAACGGGGGAGUAACACGCGAGUAACCCGUCCUUGUCUUUGGGAUAAAUCUUGGAAACAGGGGCUAAUACCGGAUAUAAGCUCCUGAUGCAUGGUGGGGGUUGGAAAGUUUCGGCGGUUGGGGAUGGACUAGCGGGUUAUCCGCUUGUUGGUGGGGUAGUUGAGUACCAAGGCUUUGAAGGGUAGCCGGCCUGGGAGGGUGAACGGCCACAUUGGGACUGAGGUAGGCACCAGACUCCAACGGGCGGCAGCAGGCGAGAGCAUUGCGCAGUGGGGCGGAGCGUGAUGUAGCAACGCCGCGUGCGUGAUAACCGCUUUCGGGUUGUAAACAACUGUCGCAGGUGCCGUGGCCGGAGUGACGGUAACGGGUAAAGAAGCACCGGCUAACUACGCG
This 468-nucleotide ribosomal RNA is filed under the name uncultured bacterium. RNAcentral describes it as "partial 16S ribosomal RNA". It matches the Rfam family "Bacterial small subunit ribosomal RNA", at positions 28 to 507 of the family's 1533-position model. The record is from RNAcentral.